UUAAGUUCAGCGGGUAUCCCUACCUGAUCCGAGGUCAACCAUAGAAGUAGAUUUAACGAAAAAUCCGAUUAAGGCCGAGCCCGAAUGACCACCAUGAUGCGUGCCGAAAUAGAGCUCGCUGCAUCCAGGGUUCAACCGACUCUGCCAUUAUCUUUCGGACCCACCGACGGUUAAAACGUCGGUGCAAAGAUCCAACAAAC
This 200-nucleotide unclassified non-coding RNA is filed under the name fungal sp. RNAcentral describes it as "partial internal transcribed spacer 2". The record is from RNAcentral. Lineage: Eukaryota; Fungi.